CCUACGGGUGACAGCAGUGGGGAAUAUUGCACAAUGGGGGAAACCCUGAUGCAGCGACGCCGCGUGAGUGAAGAAGUAUUUCGGUACGUAAAGCUCUAUCAGCAGGGAAGAAAAUGACGGUACCUGACUAAGAAGCCCCGGCUAACUACGUGCCAGCAGCCGCGGUAAUACGUAGGGGGCCAGCGUUAUCCGGAUUUACUGGGUGUAAAGGGAGCGUAGACGGCAGCGCAAGUCUGGAGUGAAAUCCCAUGGCUUAACCAUGGAACUGAGUUGGAAACUGUGCAGCUAGAGUGCAGGAGAGGUAAGCGGAAUUCCUAGUGUAGCGGUGAAAUGCGUAGAUAUUAGGAGGAACACCAGUGGCGAAGGCGGCUUACUGGACGGUAACUGACGUUGAGGCACGAAAGCGUGGGGAGCAAACAGGAUUAGAUACCCUAGUAGUC
Molecule: ribosomal RNA, 440 nt
Filed under: uncultured bacterium
Lineage: Bacteria
Description: partial 16S ribosomal RNA
Rfam family: Bacterial small subunit ribosomal RNA
Source: RNAcentral